Molecule: ribosomal RNA, 450 nt
Filed under: uncultured bacterium
Lineage: Bacteria
Description: partial 16S ribosomal RNA
Rfam family: Bacterial small subunit ribosomal RNA
Source: RNAcentral
GUGGGGAAUUUUGGACAAUGGGCGCAAGCCUGAUCCAGCAAUGCCGCGUGCAGGAAGAAGGCCUUCGGGUUGUAAACUGCUUUUGUACGGAACGAAACGGUCCUGGUUAAUACCUGGGGCUAAUGACGGUACCGUAAGAAUAAGCACCGGCUAACUACGUGCCAGCAGCCGCGGUAAUACGUAGGGUGCGAGCGUUAAUCGGAAUUACUGGGCGUAAAGCGUGCGCAGGCGGUGCUGUAAGACAGGCGUGAAAUCCCCGGGCUCAACCUGGGAAUUGCGCUUGUGACUGCAGUGCUGGAGUACGGCAGAGGGGGAUGGAAUGCCGCGUGUAGCAGUGAAAUGCGUAGAUAUGCGGAGGAACACCGAUGGCGAAGGCAAUCCCCUGGGCCUGCACUGACGCUCAUGCACGAAAGCGUGGGGAGCAAACAGGAUUAGAAACCCCAGUAGUCC